GUGGCGGAUAGCUCAGUUGGAUAGAGCGCUUACAUCCUUGUUUGUACCUUGUCUGCAAAGACCGAAUAAUGAGGGUUAUCGGCUUCACCCGAGAGGUCGCAGGUUCGAGUCCUGCUCCGCUACA
This 124-nucleotide transfer RNA is filed under the name Calothrix sp. C42_A2020_038. RNAcentral's name for it is "tRNA-OTHER". It matches the Rfam family "tRNA". Rfam says of the family: Transfer RNA (tRNA) molecules are approximately 80 nucleotides in length. Their secondary structure includes four short double-helical elements and three loops (D, anti-codon, and T loops). Lineage: Bacteria; Bacillati; Cyanobacteriota; Cyanophyceae; Nostocales; Calotrichaceae. The record is from RNAcentral.